RNAcentral lists this ribosomal RNA (170 nucleotides) under uncultured bacterium. RNAcentral describes it as "partial 16S ribosomal RNA". It matches the Rfam family "Bacterial small subunit ribosomal RNA", at positions 338 to 524 of the family's 1533-position model. The record is from RNAcentral.
CCUACGGGAGGCAGCAGUUAAGAAUCUUGCGCAAUGGAGGCAACUCUGACGCAGCGACGCCGCGUGUGCGAUGAAGGCCCUCGGGUUGUAAAGCACAACAAACAGGGAAGAAGAAAGUGACGGUACCUGUCUGAAGCACCGGCUAACUACGUGCCAGCAGCCGCGGUAAU